RNAcentral lists this long non-coding RNA (977 nucleotides) under Olea europaea subsp. europaea. The record is from RNAcentral. Lineage: Eukaryota; Viridiplantae; Streptophyta; Magnoliopsida; Lamiales; Oleaceae.
AUUGUUUUUUCUUGUUCCAAAUUCUACAAGCUGUGACAAUCAAUUUGUUUCGCCAUAUUGAACUUUCAACUUCUCCUAAAGGCAUCCCCCUCUAAAUAUAAUUGACACGUAAUAACCCAAUUUUCAAAUAUAUGUGUAAAAGUUACGUCAUGCUAUACUACAACCAUAAUCGAUCUCUAUUAUAGACAAAAUUAGUCUCAAAAAAAUUUGCUACACAACCCAGAUUUGAUAUUCAAUACCAUGUAAUUAAUUUGUUAUAUCCCAACUUUAAACUAUGCAUAUGCAAGUAAAAGUUGCAAACUGAAUUGCCUGGUCCAGUGAUAUUGAAAUUCGACCUAUUUCUUUUACAAAGCUGGUUGCUUAGUCUGCUGUUGAAAGUAAACUUCAAGUAAUAUUGUUGCAGACAAUUCAAAUAUUCCCCAUCCUGCACUUGUAAUUCCGCCUUAAGAAGCAAUUCCAGUUGACAUGUCCUUAUCCGUGCAGAUGUCUCAUAAUAAUUGGAACUUGGAAGUUCCAUUAGGAACCCCGAUGGCAACAAGCCUACCAACGCAUAAAUCGCAGAUCGCUUUUCCCUUUUACCCUAUCUUCAACACCUAUAGUAUCAACUGGUGGUCAAUCCAAGUACUUCUUUAACUUUUAUUGCUCGCCCUACUACUUGGUUUAUGAUCGAAAUGACCCAUAUCUGCCGUGUGCAAUCACGUACGAGGUUAUCAUAUGUUCAUCUUAGUCAUUUGAUGAAUUGUGGUAUGAGUAAUGCCCACAAUAAUGAUUUGAUGAAAUGCUAGUGGAAAUAUUGUAGCUCUCUGAAAUUGAAGCAUGUAUCAGUUGAGUUGGUUCACUGUUGCAAUAUUUUUUAUCAUAUUCUUGCUCAAAUAUAUAGUUUCUUGCAUUCAGUUUCUUGUUGCAUGUUGGAUUUGAGUAGAUUCAUGUGAAUAGAAUUGACCACCUAACACAGGAGAGAGGAUAUGAGUAUGGUG